Lodderomyces oxycetoniae is the source of this 71-nucleotide non-coding RNA. The record is from the annotation of a RefSeq genome assembly. Lineage: Eukaryota; Fungi; Ascomycota; Pichiomycetes; Serinales; Debaryomycetaceae.
GGGGUAAUAGAUUAAUGGUAGAUCUUAUGCGUUGCAUGCGUACAAUGUCAGUUCGAUUCUGACUUACUCCA